UGUUGAAAUUUUCAUCCAUUUUUAUUAUUAAAAACUGGUUUAACUGACGAAAUAACUAGACAGUUACAUGUGGCAUGCCACGUAUACCUCAUGUUAACAUUCAAAAAUCAGUUUUUAAAAGUAAAAAUGAAUGAAAUUUUUAACA
Non-coding RNA from Gossypium hirsutum (cotton), 145 nucleotides. Lineage: Eukaryota; Viridiplantae; Streptophyta; Magnoliopsida; Malvales; Malvaceae. The record is from Rfam.